AGUGAACGCUGGCGGUAGGCCUAACACAUGCAAGUCGAACGGCAGCACAGUAAGAGCUUGCUCUUACGGGUGGCGAGUGGCGGACGGGUGAGGAAUACAUCGGAAUCUACUUUUUCGUGGGGGAUAACGUAGGGAAACUUACGCUAAUACCGCAUACGACCUACGGGUGAAAGCAGGGGAUCUUCGGACCUUGCGCGAUUGAAUGAGCCGAUGUCGGAUUAGCUAGUUGGCGGGGUAAAGGCCCACCAAGGCGACGAUCCGUAGCUGGUCUGAGAGGAUGAUCAGCCACACUGGAACUGAGACACGGUCCAGACUCCUACGGGAGGCAGCAGUGGGGAAUAUUGGGCAAUGGGCGCAAGCCUGAUCCAGCCAUACCGCGUGGGUGAAGAAGGCCUUCGGGUUGUAAGGCCCUUUUGUUGGGAAAGAAAAGCAGCGGGUUAAUACCCCGCUGUUCUGACGGUACCCAAUGAGUAAGCACCGGCUAACUUCGUG
This 492-nucleotide ribosomal RNA is filed under the name uncultured bacterium. RNAcentral describes it as "partial 16S ribosomal RNA". It matches the Rfam family "Bacterial small subunit ribosomal RNA", at positions 29 to 507 of the family's 1533-position model. The record is from RNAcentral.